GAUGAACGCUAGCGGCAGGCCUAAUACAUGCAAGUCGAACGGUAACAGGGUAGCAAUACCGCUGACGAGUGGCGCACGGGUGCGUAACGCGUAUGUAACCUACCUUUAACUGGGGUAUACCCCCGAGAAAUCGGGAAUAAUCCCCCAUAGUCUUAUUGAUUUGGCAUCAAAUUAUGAGUAAAGUAUUUCGGUUAAAGAUGGGCAUGCGUGACAUUAGCUAGUUGGUAAGGUAACGGCUUACCAAGGCUACGAUGUCUAGGGGUUCUGAGAGGAUGAUCCCCCACACUGGUACUGAGACACGGACCAGACUCCUACGGGAGGCAGCAGUAAGGAAUAUUGGUCAAUGGACGCAAGUCUGAACCAGCCAUGCCGCGUGCAGGAUGACGGCCCUAUGGGUUGUAAACUGCUUUUGUAUGGGAAAAAACCCUCGUACGUGUACGAGGCUGAUGGUACCAUAAGAAUAAGGAUCGGCUAACUCCGUGCCAGCAGCCGCGGUAAU
RNAcentral lists this ribosomal RNA (499 nucleotides) under uncultured bacterium. RNAcentral's name for it is "bacterial SSU rRNA". It matches the Rfam family "Bacterial small subunit ribosomal RNA", at positions 28 to 524 of the family's 1533-position model. The record is from RNAcentral.